UGUGAGAGAGAACCAAAAUAUUGUGCACUGGCUCAGGCUAACACUGAAUCAGCAGCUACAGAAAAACUAGAAGUCAUCAGGGAAAAACUUCUUUCCAAAAAACUUGUUGGAGCCAGUCCAUUGAAAACCUCAAGGCACAGAAGAAAAAUUUCAUGGGGUGACAUCUUAUUGACAGCAGGAUUUGUGUCUUACUUUGGAAUCUUCAUACAACAACAUCACCAGGACCCAAAGGGACAUUUCUGGAUUCCUCCUCUAAAGGUAAAGUUUUCUGAAGACCAUUGAAAGAGCUCUGGCUUUUGAUAAGACUGUACAAAUUGAAAGCAUGUGUGACUCUAUUGAUCCCAUACUUGAUCCUCUGCUUGGAAGAUAUACAGUUAAAAGGGA
Long non-coding RNA from Camarhynchus parvulus, 384 nucleotides. RefSeq lists it as uncharacterized. The transcript has 3 exons. The record is from RefSeq and is a predicted model, not a curated record. NCBI's taxonomy places the organism in Eukaryota, Metazoa, Chordata, Aves, Passeriformes, Thraupidae.